This is a long non-coding RNA of Taeniopygia guttata (zebra finch), 1563 nucleotides long. Lineage: Eukaryota; Metazoa; Chordata; Aves; Passeriformes; Estrildidae. The record is from Ensembl.
UCAAAUCCAGGGACAAUUUGGGACAUUUUGGCGUCAAUUACAGGGACAUUUGGGGACAUUUUGGGGACAUUUUGGAACAAUUUGGGGACAUUUGGGGACAUUUUAGGAGAUUUCUGGGUCAAUUUUGGGGACUUUUGGGUUAAUUUGGGGACAUUUGGGACAAUUUGGGACAUUUGGGGACAUUUGGGACAAUUUGGGAACAUUUGGGACAAUUUGGGGACAAUUUGGGGACAUUUGGGACAAUUUGGGACAAUUUGGGGACAUUUGGGACAAUUUGGAGACAAUUUGGGGACAAUUGGGAACAAUUGGGGCAUUUGGGGACAUUUUGGGGGGUUUGGGGACAUUUUGGGAGGUUUUUGGGUCAAUUUUGGGGACAUUUGGGACAAUUUUGGGGACAUUUUGGGACAUUUGGGGACAUUUGGGGUCAUUUUGGGGUCAACUCCAGGGACAAUAUUGGACUUUUGGGGACAUUUGGGGACAAUUUGGGGACAUUUGGGGUCAAUUUUGGGACAAAUUUGGGACAAUUUUGGGACAUUUUUGGGACCUUUUGUGGCAAAUUUGGGACAAUUUUGGGACAUUUUUGGGUCCUUUUGUGGCAAUUUUGGGUCCGUUCGGGGACAAUUUGGGGACAUCGGAGACAAAUUUUGGGACAUUUGGGGACAUUCUUGGGAGAUUUUCAGGUCCAUUUUGGGGACAUUUGGGACAAAUUUUGGGGACAAUUUGGGGACAUUUGGGACAUUUGGGGGAUUUUGGGGAUAUUUUGGGGGAUUUUGGGAUUUUUCGGAUUUUUUUGGGAUAUUUUGGGGGAUUUUUGGGGGGAUUUUGGGGGUUUUUGGUUGUUUUUUGGGGAUUUAUUUGUGUUUUGGGGAUUUUGGGGUUUUUUGGGGUGUUUUGGGGACAUGUUGGGGAUUUGGGGAUAUUUUGGGGGGAUUUUGGGAUCAUUUGGGGCAUUUUGAGUUGGUUUUGGGGGAUUUGGGGGAUUUUUGGGGUGACUUGGGGAGAUUUGGGCUGAUUUUGGGCCAUUUGGGGAUAUUUGGGGGAUUUUGGGGGGUUUUGGGGAUUUGGGGAGUUUUUCGUUGUUUUGGGGGGAUUUUUUUGUGUUUCGAGGAAUUUGGGGGGUUUUGGCUUGAUUUUUUGGGGAUAUUUUGAUCUAUUUUGGGGGAUUUGGGGAUAUUUUGGGAUAUUUUGGGUGAUUUUGGGACAUUUUGGGAUGUUUUUGGAUAUUUUUGGAUAUUUUUGGGAUGGUUUUGGGACAUUUUAGUGAUUUUUGGGACAUUUUGGGAGAUAUUUUUGGGAUAUUUUGGGAUAUUUUUGGGAUUAAUUUUUUUUUUGGGGACAUUUUGGGAUGUUUUUGGGGGGAUUUUGGGACAUUUCGGGAUGGUUUUCGGGUGAAUUUUUGGGGAUAUUUUUGGGGUGAUUUUGGGACAUUUUAGUGAUUUUGGGACAUUUUGGGAAAUAUUUUUGGGAUAUUUUGGGAUAUUUUUGGGAUGAUUUUUUUUGGGACAUUUUGGAAUGUUUUUGGGGCAUUUUUGGGGUGUUUUUGGGGGAUAUUUUGGGAUGUUU